AGAGUUGUGGCUCAGUGGCAGAGCGCUUGCCUAGCAUGCAUGGGGCACUGGGUUCGAUCCUCAGCACCACAU
This 72-nucleotide transfer RNA is filed under the name Ictidomys tridecemlineatus (thirteen-lined ground squirrel). RNAcentral describes it as "Spermophilus tridecemlineatus (thirteen-lined ground squirrel) tRNA". It matches the Rfam family "tRNA". Rfam says of the family: Transfer RNA (tRNA) molecules are approximately 80 nucleotides in length. Their secondary structure includes four short double-helical elements and three loops (D, anti-codon, and T loops). Lineage: Eukaryota; Metazoa; Chordata; Mammalia; Rodentia; Sciuridae. The record is from Rfam by way of RNAcentral.